Molecule: transfer RNA, 73 nt
Filed under: Natronosporangium hydrolyticum
Lineage: Bacteria; Bacillati; Actinomycetota; Actinomycetes; Micromonosporales; Micromonosporaceae
Also listed under: 1 other name
Rfam family: tRNA
About the family: Transfer RNA (tRNA) molecules are approximately 80 nucleotides in length. Their secondary structure includes four short double-helical elements and three loops (D, anti-codon, and T loops). Further hydrogen bonds mediate the characteristic L-shaped molecular structure. tRNAs have two regions of fundamental functional importance: the anti-codon, which is responsible for specific mRNA codon recognition, and the 3' end, to which the tRNAs corresponding amino acid is attached (by aminoacyl-tRNA synthetases). tRNAs cope with the degeneracy of the genetic code in two manners: having more than one tRNA (with a specific anti-codon) for a particular amino acid; and 'wobble' base-pairing, i.e. permitting non-standard base-pairing at the 3rd anti-codon position.
Source: Rfam by way of RNAcentral
GCCCCUGUAGGCCAACGGCAGAGCCAGUGGACUCAAAAUCCAUACAGUGUGGGUUCGAAUCCCACCGGGGGCA